Gossypium raimondii (Peruvian cotton) is the source of this 156-nucleotide non-coding RNA. The record is from Rfam. Lineage: Eukaryota; Viridiplantae; Streptophyta; Magnoliopsida; Malvales; Malvaceae.
UGUUAAAAAUUUUAUCUAUUUGUACUGUUAAAAACCGACAUAUUGAUGGAAUAAUUAGAUAGUGACACAUGACAUGCCACAUGACAUGCCACAUAUACCUCAAGCUGAGGUAUAGUGACCAAUUUUUAACAAUAGAAAUUGAUGAAUUUUUUAAUA